Molecule: ribosomal RNA, 559 nt
Filed under: uncultured Geobacteraceae bacterium
Lineage: Bacteria; Pseudomonadati; Thermodesulfobacteriota; Desulfuromonadia; Geobacterales; Geobacteraceae
Description: partial 16S ribosomal RNA
Rfam family: Bacterial small subunit ribosomal RNA
Source: RNAcentral
AAUYCUAUMMCURSGYYYYUAGAGUUUGAUCCUGGCUCAGAACGAACSCUGRARRAGSGKGCCUAACACAUGCAAGUCGAACGGGAUGAGGGGCUUGCUCCUCAUUUAGUGGCGCACGGGUGAGUACGCGUAGAUAAUCUGCCUGAUGAUUCGGGAUAACAUUUCGAAAGGGGUGCUAAUACCGGAUAAGCCCACGGGAACUUUGGUUYUUGCGGGAAAAGGGGGGGACCUUCGGGCCUUCUGUCAUCAGAUGAGUCUGCGUACCAUUAGCUAGUUGGUAGGGUAAUGGCCUACCAAGGCUACGAUGGUUAGCUGGUCUGAGAGGAUGAUCASCCMCACUGGAACUGARACACGGUCCAGACUCCUACGGGAGGCAGCAKUGGGGAAUUUUGCGCAAUGGGGGAAACCCUGACGCAGCAACGCCGCGUGAGUGAUGAAGGCUUUCGGGUCGUAAGGCUCUGUCGGAGGGGAAGAAAUGGAAACGGUUAAUACCCGUUUUUCUUGACGGUACCCUCAAAGGAAGCACCGGCUAACUCCGUGCCAGCMGCCGCGGUAAUAC